RNAcentral lists this long non-coding RNA (988 nucleotides) under Equus caballus (horse). RNAcentral's name for it is "lncRNA (ENSECAG00000056842.1)". The record is from RNAcentral. Lineage: Eukaryota; Metazoa; Chordata; Mammalia; Perissodactyla; Equidae.
AGAUAGCAGACCACCGUUAGGGGCCAGGAGGGGAAGAGAGGUGAUUGCCGGAGCUCUAACGGUGUCCAUGAGAACAUCAAGGAAAAGACCGCAGUCAAGACUGUGCGCAGGAAGCAGGGCACGGAUUUCACGGCUGGUAGAAUGUGCCAGGCAGGGUGGAGGGCGAAGACAAGAAGACCUCAGAGCUGCAGAACCGGAGGACUACGUUCAUACGAUUACUGAGCGCAAGCUGUGUUCCCAGGUUCCUGGUCCCCUCCCUUAGGAAGCUCACCAUCUGGUGAGAGGAAGAUAACACUGCACUGUAACUAGCGUGCAGAGGGCACUUGUGCAGUCCAGAUGAGCGGGCCUAACGAGGACUUCACAGGACGGGUACCCAGCUCUGCUUGGAAGAGAGGGGCAGACAGGAGUGUAUUCCAAGUAGAAGUUGCAUUUUGGCACUCUGGGGGAAAGCACGCAAUUCAACAAAAAGAUAUAAAAAGAGAAGACGCUGAGAAAGAACUCUCCAGGAGAAGGAGUCAAAGAUCUUGUAGUGCUGAGGAGAUCAAAAGGAGAGAAGCUCUCGAGAAGGAAGUGCCGUGUCUAAUCCCACAGAAAGUGUGGGGACGCAGCAAGAAGAUUGCCGUCUGCAAACUGAAACGAUGGGGCCAUCCUCUGCAUCUCUAUUUAAGACGUAGAUUAACAUGUGAAGAGGAACAGGAUCCAGCCAGAGCCCCACAACAUGGCACCAGAAACACCCAUCAAGACACCAAAUGAAAGAUCUUGUCAUAUGGGUUUUUCAGAGUUUGGUUACACUAUAUCUUCCACAUUUCCCUGAAAUAACAGUCUGGUAAUAACCCCAUCAAAAAAAGAAAUAGAAGCAUCUAUGGUAUAAUUAGAAGAUGUGAUUCUGUCAUCUCCUAGUCUGAAGCUUUGGGCAAAGUCCAAUCCAGUUCCAUGGUUCCGUGACUAUUCAUGGAUCACCUAACAUGUAUCUAAGUGCCAACUGGAC